This 406-nucleotide ribosomal RNA is filed under the name uncultured bacterium. RNAcentral's name for it is "partial 16S ribosomal RNA". It matches the Rfam family "Bacterial small subunit ribosomal RNA", at positions 30 to 526 of the family's 1533-position model. The record is from RNAcentral.
AUUGAACGCUGGCGGCAGGCCUAACACAUGCAAGUCGAACGAGUGGCGGACGGGUGAGUAAUGUCUGGGAAACUGCCUGAUGGAGGGGGAUAACUACUGGAAACGGUAGCUAAUACCGCAUACCAUCGGAUGUGCCCAGAUGGGAUGAGCUUGUUGGUGGGGUAACGGCUAACCAAGGCGACGAUCCCGAGCUGGUCUGAGAGGAGGACCAGCCACACUGGAACUGAGACACGGGCCAGACUUCUACGGGAGGCAGCAGUGGGGAAUAUUGCACAAUGGGCGCAAGCCGUAUGCAGCCAUGCCGCGUGGAUGAAGAAGGCCUUCGGGUUGUAAAGUACUUUCAGCGGGGAGGCGUUACCUGCAGAAGAAGCACCGGCUAACUCCGUGCCAGCAGCCGCGGUAAUUC